This 498-nucleotide ribosomal RNA is filed under the name Ischnocnema cf. randorum CC-2012. RNAcentral describes it as "partial 12S ribosomal RNA". It matches the Rfam family "Bacterial small subunit ribosomal RNA", at positions 296 to 825 of the family's 1533-position model. Lineage: Eukaryota; Metazoa; Chordata; Amphibia; Anura; Brachycephalidae. The record is from RNAcentral.
GACCCUAAACAGGCCCCCUAAGCACAAAAGUUUGGUCCUAACUUUAAAAUCAGCUUUUCCUUAAUUUAUACAUGCAAGUCUCCCCACCCCCGUGAGGACCCGUCCCCCUCCUACGAGGGUUUAACGGAAAUGGUAUCAGGCACAAAAAUCUGCCCAAAACACCUAACGAUAUGUCACUCCCACAAGGGCUACAGCAGUAAUUAAUAUUGAAUAUAAGUGCCAACUUGAUUCAGUUACAGCAAAAUAGGGCCGGCUAAACUGGUGCCAGCAGCCGCGGCUACACCAGAGACCCGAGUUGAUUUCUAUCGGCGUAAAGCGUGGUUAAAGAUUUUAAAAAUUGGAAUCAAAUGUUAACUAAGCAGUAAUAUGCUUGUUCUCAAGAAGUCUAUAAACGAAAGUUAUUCCAACCACAUUAACUUGAACCCACGAUAGCUGGAACACAAACUAGGAUUAGAUACCCUACUAUGUCCAGCCCUAAACCUUAAAUUACACCUUUAC